GCUGCCUACCAUGCAGUCGCGCGGACAGUAGCAAUACUGUUAGCGGCGGACGGGUGAGGAAUACAUAGGAAUUUGCCUCAGAGCGGGGGAUAGCCCAGGGAAACUUGGAGUAAUACCGCAUGAUGUCGAAAGACCAAAGCUGGGGACCGCAAGGCCUAGCACUCUGAGAGGAGCCUAUGUCUGAUUAGCUAGUUGGUAGGGUAAUGGCCUACCAAGGCGACGAUCAGUAACUGGUCUGAGAGGACGAUCAGUCACACUGGAACUGAGACACGGUCCAGACUCCUACGGGAGGCAGCAGUGGGGAAUAUUGGACAAUGGGCGCAAGCCUGAUCCAGCAAUGCCGCGUGUGUGAAGAAGGCCUUCGGGUUGUAAAGCACUUUAAGCAGGGAAGAAAAAAUUCAAGCUAAUAUCUUGAGUCUUGACGGUACCUGAAGAAUAAGCACCGGCUAACUCUGUGCCAGCAGCCGCGGUAAUACAGAGGGUGCGAGCGUUAAUCGGAUUUACUGGGCGUAAAGCGUGUGUAGGUGGUUGUUCAAGUCGGUUGUGAAAUCCCCGGGCUCAACCUGGGAACUGCUUCCGAGACUGAACGACUAGAGUACGGUAGAGGGCGGUGGAAUUUCCGGUGUAGCGGUGAAAUGCGUAGAUAUCGGAAGAAACACCAAUGGCGAAGGCAGCCGCCUGGGCCUGUACUGACACUGAGACACGAAAGCGUGGGGAUCAAACAGGAUUAGAUACCCUGGUAGUCCACGCCGUAAACGAUGAGAACUUGACGUCGGUUUGCUCUGCAAGUCGGUGUCGUAGCUAACGCGAUAAGUUCUCCGCCUGGGGAGUACGGCCGCAAGGUUGAAACUCAAAGGAAUUGACGGGGGCCCGCACAAGCGGUGGAGAAUGUGGUUUAAUUCGAUGCAACGCGAAGAACCUUACCUGGGCUUGAC
RNAcentral lists this ribosomal RNA (935 nucleotides) under uncultured bacterium. RNAcentral's name for it is "bacterial SSU rRNA". It matches the Rfam family "Bacterial small subunit ribosomal RNA", at positions 46 to 985 of the family's 1533-position model. The record is from RNAcentral.